Pelobates cultripes (western spadefoot toad) is the source of this 250-nucleotide non-coding RNA. The record is from the annotation of a GenBank genome assembly. Lineage: Eukaryota; Metazoa; Chordata; Amphibia; Anura; Pelobatidae.
GUGCUAAAAUAGGAUACUCCUCACCAACAAAGCAUUUCAGCAAGUGGAUUGUGAUGUGAGGCUUCAAGAUGGAUUAGAAUGACUCAAAUCACUUUGGGUCAUGUGAUGACGUGACAACGCUGAUUGGGCGGAGCGUCUGAGAGAUCAAGGUGCAUCCAGCGAUGUCAGCGUUCUAUGCACAGUGCAUGUAAAGCGGCUACAGCAAGUCUGAACAAGUGGCCAGAUCUUCAUGUGUGCGGACGCUACGGUG